RNAcentral lists this transfer RNA (74 nucleotides) under Marmota monax (woodchuck). RNAcentral's name for it is "tRNA.Ala". It matches the Rfam family "tRNA". From Rfam's summary of the family: Transfer RNA (tRNA) molecules are approximately 80 nucleotides in length. Their secondary structure includes four short double-helical elements and three loops (D, anti-codon, and T loops). Lineage: Eukaryota; Metazoa; Chordata; Mammalia; Rodentia; Sciuridae. The record is from RNAcentral.
GCUGGAGUUGUGGCUCAGUGGUAGAGCACUUGCCUGGCAUGUGUGAGGCACUGGGUUCAAUCCUCAGCCCUGCA